This 66-nucleotide small RNA is filed under the name Sinorhizobium meliloti 2011. RNAcentral describes it as "putative ncRNA". The record is from RNAcentral. Lineage: Bacteria; Pseudomonadati; Pseudomonadota; Alphaproteobacteria; Hyphomicrobiales; Rhizobiaceae.
UCCACGCGGUCACAUUGCCGGAGGAUGACGAGCAGGUCCAUAUUCCGGCGACGGAACGUGCGCGUA